This 605-nucleotide ribosomal RNA is filed under the name Nakaseomyces nivariensis. RNAcentral's name for it is "[Candida] nivariensis partial large subunit ribosomal RNA". It matches the Rfam family "Eukaryotic large subunit ribosomal RNA", at positions 77 to 687 of the family's 3401-position model. Lineage: Eukaryota; Fungi; Ascomycota; Saccharomycetes; Saccharomycetales; Saccharomycetaceae. The record is from RNAcentral.
GCCUUAGUAACGGCGAGUGAAGCGGCAAAAGCUCAAAUUUGAAAUCUGGUACCUUUGGUGCCCGAGUUGUAAUUUGUAGAGUACCACUUUGGGACUAUACUUUGCCUAUGUUCCUUGGAACAGGACGUCAUGGAGGGUGAGAAUCCCGUAUGGCGAGGGUGUUAGUUCUUUGUAAAGGGUGCUCGAAGAGUCGAGUUGUUUGGGAAUGCAGCUCUAAGUGGGUGGUAAAUUCCAUCUAAAGCUAAAUACAGGCGAGAGACCGAUAGCGAACAAGUACAGUGAUGGAAAGAUGAAAAGAACUUUGAAAAGAGAGUGAAAAAGUACGUGAAAUUGUUGAAAGGGAAGGGCAUUUGAUCAGACAUGGUGUUUUGCGCCCCUCGCUCCUUGUGGGUGGGGGACUCUCGCAGCUCACUGGGCCAGCAUCAGUUUUUGCGGCAGGACAAAACCUUGGGAAUGUAGCUGUGCGCCUCGGUGUACAGUGUUAUAGCUCUUGGGAAUACUGCCAGCGGGGACUGAGGACUGCGAUACUUGUUAUCUAGGAUGCUGGCAUAAUGGUUAUAUGCCGCCCGUCUUGAAACACGGACCAAGGAGUCUAACGUCUAUGC